AUGUGCUGCCGGCCCGCUUUUCCUAUCAGUUAAAUAUAAGCCACAACAGUUAUUUAAAAAUUCAACCCCUUAAUAUUUUAUUAAUUUGACCAAUAAAAAAAUAAAAAAUAAAAAAUAAAAACCACCGGUUCUACCAAUUUCUAGAACCAUUGCUUCUUCUCUCCCUUCCUUUCUCCCUUUCUCUUUCCUUUCCUUGCCUCGUCCUUUUUCGCCUUCUUCCUUAUGAUCUCUCGAUCUCUUUCUCCCUGAUUCUCCAUCACAGACGCCAGAGCGCCGCGCCAAACGAGUUCCAAAUACGGUCUUGCCAGACGACAACCCAUUCGUCACCAACUCCGGCUUCGAGACCCAUCCUCGCAUAAUUUCAUCCCAGACCCGUGUAGCUGCAUGCCCGUCAUCGCUUCUACAAUCACCCCACGGUAGCAAACAUGCAGAAGGAGAGAGAAAACAUUGAAUUUAUAACUUUUAAUGUUUAGCGGUUCUAAUAGCAUGGUUCCGUAUCGACGACGACAUGUGGCACUCCCAGUCCUAGUGGCUUAUAUUGAUGGUAUAAUUACUAUCUUGUUCACUGUACUUGUCUUUUGCUCUGUAUCACGUGUGAAAUGGGUCUAUACCCACUCACCGCGUAGUUGUGUAUAUAGGAACUUUUAAGUUUAAAUUUAUUCACACUUUACACAUUA
Molecule: long non-coding RNA, 677 nt
Organism: Pyrus x bretschneideri (Chinese white pear)
Lineage: Eukaryota; Viridiplantae; Streptophyta; Magnoliopsida; Rosales; Rosaceae
Exons: 2
Source: RefSeq, a predicted model, not a curated record